This is a long non-coding RNA of Manis pentadactyla (Chinese pangolin), 741 nucleotides long. RefSeq lists it as uncharacterized. The record is from RefSeq and is a predicted model, not a curated record. The transcript has 2 exons. NCBI's taxonomy places the organism in Eukaryota, Metazoa, Chordata, Mammalia, Pholidota, Manidae.
CAACUCGGUGGGCGGUGCCGGCGCGGGUCAGGUGACUUGUCCCCUCGGACGGCUCCGCCCACAGUCCUUGGCGCAGCAGCGCCCCUUCCCGGAAGCGUCCCGGGCCACCGGCCCUCGCCGCACUCCAGCUUCCCGUACUUCCACUCCCGCAGCACCUCCAUCUCCCGAGCUCGGACUCUUGGGUCGGGCUGCCUGAGAUACCUCUCGACAUCUCCUGAGGCCUGUUUCCCUCUUGGAACCAGGUGGCUCAAGCUGGAACCAAGAGAUGCCCCAACCCCACGCCAAAUAAAUGCCUGCUUAACCGGCGGAGAAACUGAGGUCUCGGAGAGAAAGCACCUUGCCAGAGAACGCCACACAAACCAGUGGAGAAUCGGGAUUGGAACCCAGGCUGCCCACCGCUGCUGCGCUCCAGGCAUGUGUGACGCCCCCUAGUGGCCAGGAAGGUGUGCUCUCAGCCUUUUGGGGUUUACAUCCGCAAAAGCCAAAUGGAAUUUUUUCAGUCAACUCUGUGUCUUAGGGUGUAUAGAUCCAACUUAGAGUUUCUGUAACCGGCCAAUAGGCACAGCCCAGGGAUGACCAAAGAUAGCAGCAAGCGCUUCAUCACAUGGGGUGAAAAAAAAGUUAAACUUUAGUACUCAACAAAGACAGGCACUACUCUUAAGUCCUUUAUUAUUAUUUAUAUAUUUAUUGUAAAUAUCUAUAUAAUAUAAAAUAUAUAAUUUAUUAAAUAUUUGAAUUAUA